GGGCCCGCACAAGCGGUGGAGCAUGUGGUUUAAUUCGAUGAUACGCGAGGAACCUUACCAGGGCUUAAAUGUAAGUUGCAUUAGUUAGAGAUAGCUAUUUCUUCGGACCACUUACAAGGUGCUGCAUGGUUGUCGUCAGCUCGUGCCGUGAGGUGUCAGGGUUAAGUCCCGCAACGAGCGCAACCCACGUCUUUAGUUGCCAGCAUUUAGUUGGGCACUCUAGAGAGACUGCCGGUGAUAAACCGGAGGAAGGUGUGGAUGACGUCAAGUCAUCAUGCCCCUUACAUCCUGGGCUACACACGUACUACAAUGCUACGGACAAAGGGCCAGCAAGUUCGCGAGGACAAG
Molecule: ribosomal RNA, 348 nt
Filed under: uncultured bacterium
Lineage: Bacteria
Description: bacterial SSU rRNA
Rfam family: Bacterial small subunit ribosomal RNA
Source: RNAcentral